RNAcentral lists this non-coding RNA (29 nucleotides) under Mus musculus (house mouse). The record is from RNAcentral. Lineage: Eukaryota; Metazoa; Chordata; Mammalia; Rodentia; Muridae.
UCCUUAAAUCUUGUCCUGCCUACCAGCUG